GACGAACGCUGGCGGCGUGCCUAAUACAUGCAAGUAGAACGCUGAAGGAGGAGCUUGCUUCUCUGGAUGAGUUGCGAACGGGUGAGUAACGCGUAGGUAACCUGCCUUGUAGCGGGGGAUAACUAUUGGAAACGAUAGCUAAUACCGCAUAACAGUAGAUAUCGCAUGAUAUCUACUUGAAAGGUGCACUUGCCUCACUACCAGAUGGACCUGCGUUGGAUUAGCUAGUUGGGGAGGUAACGGCUCACCAAGGCGACGAUACAUAGCCGACCUGAGAGGGUGAUCGGCCACACUGGGACUUAGACCCGGCCCAGACCCCUUAGGGAGGGAGCAGGAGGGAAUCAUCGGCAAUGGAGGGAAGGCUGAACGAGGCAAGACGGGGGAGGGGAGAAGGGCCUCGGGUCGUAAAGGUCUGUUGUUAGAGAAGAAAGAGCGUGAGAGUGGAAAGUUCACACUGUGACGGUAGCUAAACAGAAAGGGACGGCUAACUACGUG
Molecule: ribosomal RNA, 495 nt
Filed under: uncultured bacterium
Lineage: Bacteria
Description: partial 16S ribosomal RNA
Rfam family: Bacterial small subunit ribosomal RNA
Source: RNAcentral